Molecule: ribosomal RNA, 491 nt
Filed under: uncultured bacterium
Lineage: Bacteria
Description: partial 16S ribosomal RNA
Rfam family: Bacterial small subunit ribosomal RNA
Source: RNAcentral
AGUGAACGCUGGCGGUAGGCCUAACACAUGCAAGUCGAACGGCAGCACAGUAAGAGCUUGCUCUUACGGGUGGCGAGUGGCGGACGGGUGAGGAAUACAUCGGAAUCUACUUUUUCGUGGGGGAUAACGUAGGGAAACUUACGCUAAUACCGCAUACGACCUACGGGUGAAAGCAGGGGAUCUUCGGACCUUGCGCGAUUGAAUGAGCCGAUGUCGGAUUAGCUAGUUGGCGGGGUAAAGGCCCACCAAGGCGACGAUCCGUAGCUGGUCUGAGAGGAUGAUCAGCCACACUGGAACUGAGACACGGUCCAGAAUCCUACGGGAGGCAGCAGUGGGGAAUAUUGGACAAGGGGCGCAAGCAUGAUCCAGCCAUACCGCGGGGGUGAAGAAGGCCUUCGGGUUGUAAAGCCCUUUUGUUGGGAAAGAAAAGCAGCAGGUUAAUACCCCGCUGUUCUGACGGUACCCAAAGAAUAAGCACCGGCUAACUUCGU